Molecule: long non-coding RNA, 234 nt
Filed under: Lathyrus oleraceus (garden pea)
Lineage: Eukaryota; Viridiplantae; Streptophyta; Magnoliopsida; Fabales; Fabaceae
Description: Pisum sativum (pea) long non-coding RNA (PSAT_LNC009072)
Source: RNAcentral
AAGAAACCAUUUUUCAUAAAAAAAAUUAUCUAUUACAUUACAUUCAAAUGAACAUUAUCCAUACAAUUACAAAAAAUGAAGAUUUUUGGUAGAGUUGACUUUUUAGUCAACAGUUGAUCAAAGUCAACUACAUAAUCUAAAAACCCUAAUGAAGCUCUUUUGCUUUCAUCUUCAAUCAUGCCUUGAUCAUCUUUUCAUGCCAUGUGUGCCAUAACCUCUCCAUCUGCCAUAACU